GGCCAUGUGUGAAUAUGGAUUUCAGCCCUGCCACAUAGGCUCUCUGCUCACUGAGUGAAGAGACUAUUCUGCCCACAUUUCAAGACUUGAAACCAGAACUUAUUUGAAGUUUCCAAGUCUAUGUCAAAAAAAGGAUUCUGAACGCCUCAGAAUUUUGACUCUUUACAGCAUCUAGAAGGCACACAUGAAGUUGACUGAGGCCAGGAGAUGUGAAGCAUUUCAAUCAAAGCUAUCAUUCCACAAGAGUAAAAAUUUGUUCCAUUUAUUAGCAAUGAACAUGUGGCUUAUCACUUGACUCAUUAGCACACUUCUGUCAAUACAGCAAGCUUGUA
Lontra canadensis (Northern American river otter) is the source of this 332-nucleotide long non-coding RNA. RefSeq lists it as uncharacterized. The record is from RefSeq and is a predicted model, not a curated record. The transcript has 3 exons. Lineage: Eukaryota; Metazoa; Chordata; Mammalia; Carnivora; Mustelidae.